RNAcentral lists this long non-coding RNA (331 nucleotides) under Gallus gallus (chicken). RNAcentral's name for it is "long non-coding RNA NONGGAT005104". The record is from RNAcentral. Lineage: Eukaryota; Metazoa; Chordata; Aves; Galliformes; Phasianidae.
UCGAUUUCCCCUUGGUGAACCCAUGCUGACUGCUCCUGAUGACCUUCUCCUCCAAUUGCCUGGAGAUGGCACCCAGAACACGCUGCUCCAUGGCCUUUCCAGGCACAGAGGGUACCUUCUUACUUCCUCAUCAACACAGCAAUUGGGGUUUCGUGAGUGGAACAAAUGUGCAACAGCCCCGAGCUGCGAGGAGGAGUCAGGAGAGAGAUUCCGUGCAGUGCUGCAGCACGGUGCAUCCGCAGGGCACUGCCCACAGCACCGUGCACUGCCUGCAGCACCGUGCACUGCCUGCAGCACUGAGCACUACCCGCAGCACCGUGCAUUCCCUGCA